UGACUGAAGAACAUUGGUUUGCUGAUGAAGCAUUUCUUGAUCAUCAACUGGACUCAAAGUUUGAAGAGUCUGUGUCACCUGAGGCUUAACUCCAGCCACAUCCACACGGAUGGAAGGAGACAAUGAAAGAGUUCGUGUGUCAUCUACCACCUUCAACUAUAGACCAAUGUAAGAGAAGUUUAACCAGGAAAAGUUUAACAGUUCUUCAGGCCGGAUACUAGCUUAAGCCAAGCUCCAUCACUCAAUUCAGAUGAAUUUUCAUAAGAAGCAUUAGCUAAGGCUAGACCAGCUUAGGGAGGAUAAGGACCUGCAAAGAUG
RNAcentral lists this long non-coding RNA (318 nucleotides) under Mus musculus (house mouse). RNAcentral's name for it is "predicted gene, 48036". Lineage: Eukaryota; Metazoa; Chordata; Mammalia; Rodentia; Muridae. The record is from RNAcentral.